GACGAACGCUGGCGGCGUGCUUAACACAUGCAAGUCGAGCGGUAAGGCCCUUUCGGGGGUACACGAGCGGCGAACGGGUGAGUAACACGUGGGUGACCUGCCCUCAGCUCUGGGAUAAGCCUGGGAAACUGGGUCUAAUACUGGAUAUGACUCCACGGUGCAUGUCGGUGGGGUGGAAAGCCUUGUGCGGCUGAGGAUGGGCCCGCGGCCUAUCAGCUUGUUGGUGGGGUGANGGCCUACCAAGGCGACGACGGGUAGCCGGCCUGAGAGGGCGACCGGCCACACUGGGACUGAGACACGGCCCAGACUCCUACGGGAGGCAGCAGUGGGGAAUCUUGCGCAAUGGGCGAAAGCCUGACGCAGCGACGCCGCGUGAGGGAUGACGGCCUC
Molecule: ribosomal RNA, 390 nt
Filed under: uncultured bacterium
Lineage: Bacteria
Description: bacterial SSU rRNA
Rfam family: Bacterial small subunit ribosomal RNA
Source: RNAcentral